This 90-nucleotide transfer RNA is filed under the name Microbacterium phage Cece. RNAcentral describes it as "tRNA-Met". It matches the Rfam family "tRNA". From Rfam's summary of the family: Transfer RNA (tRNA) molecules are approximately 80 nucleotides in length. Their secondary structure includes four short double-helical elements and three loops (D, anti-codon, and T loops). The record is from RNAcentral. Lineage: Duplodnaviria; Heunggongvirae; Uroviricota; Caudoviricetes.
UACGGAGUAGGGGAGUUCGGAGUCCCCGCUGGUCUCAUACGCCAGAGGCUUACAAACGCGCAUAAGUGGUUCAAAUCCCGCCUCCGUAAC